RNAcentral lists this ribosomal RNA (1692 nucleotides) under human gut metagenome. Its description in RNAcentral is "bacterial LSU rRNA". It matches the Rfam family "Bacterial large subunit ribosomal RNA", at positions 832 to 2538 of the family's 2925-position model. The record is from RNAcentral.
AUCGAACCCGGAGAUAGCUGGUUCUCCUCGAAAUAGCUUUAGGGCUAGCCUCAUGGAUCAUUGAUGGGGGUAGAGCACUGAAUGUGCGCGGGGGCCACAAAGCCUACCAAACGCUAUCAAACUUCGAAUACCAUACAAUGCAGACCAUGGGAGUCAGUCCGCGAGAGAUAAGUUCCGCGGGCAAAAGGGGAACACCCCAGAUCAACCGCUAAGGUCCCCAAGUUCACGUUAAGUGGAGAAGGAUGUGGAAUUGCACAGACAACCAGGAUGUUGGCUCAGAAGCAGCCACACAUUUAAAGAGUGCGUAAUAGCUCACUGGUCGAGUGAUUGUGCGCCGAAGAUGUCCGGGGCUAAACGUGACACCGAAGCGAUGGGUGCGUCUGAAGAAGAUGCGCGGUAGAGGAGCAAUGUGCAGAGGCAGAAGCCGUAUCGAGAGGCACGGUGGACACUGCACAAGAGAGAAUGCCGGUAUGAGUAGCGAGAGGCAUGCGAGAAACAUGCCCGUCGAAAGCCCAAGGUUUCCUGGGGAAGGUUCAUCCGCCCAGGGUAAGUCGGGGCCUAAGCCGAGGACGGAAGUCGUAGGCGAUGGACAGCAGGUGUAGAUUCCUGCACUACCGAUGGAAUGAAGCAGUGACACAGAAGGAUAACUCGAGCAGGGUGAUGGUCAACCCUGUGCAAGCAUCAAGGUUGGGUUGUAGUGAAGUACGCAACCCUAUAAGCUGAGGUGUGAUGCGGACCGAAAUUUCAGUAGGGAAGCGAGUGAGUUCACGCUGGCGAGAAAAGCUGCUAGUAUAUCCAAAGGUACCCGUACCGGAAACCGACGCAGGUGGGCGAGGAGAGAAUCCUGAGACGAACGGGAGAACCCUUGUUAAGGAACUCGGCAAAAUGACCCCGUAACUUCGGGAUAAGGGGUGCCUGCGAGAGCAGGCCGCAGAGAAUAGUCACAAGCGACUGUUUAGCAAAAACACAGGUAUCUGCGAAAGCGAGAGCUGACGUAUAGGUGCUGACACCUGCCCGGUGCUGGAAGGUUAAGGGAACAUGUUAGAGCAAUCGAAGCAUCGAACCGAAGCCCCAGUAAACGGCGGCCGUAACUAUAACGGUCCUAAGGUAGCGAAAUUCCUUGUCGGGUAAGUUCCGACCCGCACGAAUGGUGUAACGAUUUGGGCACUGUCUCAACAGGGGGCCCGGCGAAAUUGUAGUAUACGUGAAGAUGCGUAUUAACCCGCGACCGGACGGAAAGACCCCGUAGAGCUUUACUGUAACUUGAUAUUGAAUCUCGGCAAUUGAUGCACAGAAUAGGUGGGAGACGAAGAAGCAUGUGUUUCGGCAUGUGUGGAGUCAACUUUGGGAUACCACUCUUCGAUUGCUGCGAUUCUAACCGGGACCGUUGAAGCACGGCUCGGGACAUUGUCAGGUGGGCAGUUUGACUGGGGCGGUCGCCUCCUAAAGUGUAACGGAGGCGCUCAAAGGUUCCCUCAGAAUGGUUGGAAAUCAUUCGCAGAGUGUAAAGGUAUAAGGGAGCUUGACUGCGAGAGCUACAACUCGAGCAGGGACGAAAGUCGGGCUUAGUGAUCCGGUGGUUCCGCAUGGAAGGGCCAUCGCUCAACGGAUAAAAGCUACCCUGGGGAUAACAGGCUUAUCUCCCCCAAGAGUUCACAUCGACGGGGAGGUUUGGCACCUCGAUGUCGGCUC